GACGAACGCUGGCGGCGUGCCUAAUACAUGCAAGUCGAACGCUUCUUUCCUCCCGAGUGCUUGCACUCAAUUGGAAAGAGGAGUGGCGGACGGGUGAGUAACACGUAGGUAACCUACCCAUCAGAGGGGGAUAACACUUGGAAACAGGUGCUAAUACCGCAUAACAGUUUAUGCCGCAUGGCAUAAGAGUGAAAGGCGCUUUCGGGGGUCGCUGAUGGAUGGACCCGCGGUGCAUUAGCUAGUUGGUGAGGUAACGGCUCACCAAGGCCACGAUGCAUAGCCGACCUGAGAGGGUGAUCGGCCACACUGGGACUGAGACACGGCCCAGACUCCUACGGGAGGCAGCAGUAGGGAAUCUUCGGCAAUGGACGAAAGUCUGACCGAGCAACGCCGCGUGAGUGAAGAAGGUUUUCGGAUCGUAAAACUCUGUUGUUAGAGAAGAACAAGGACGUUAGUAACUGAACGUCCCCUGACGGUAUCUAACCAGAAAGCCACGGCUAACUACGUG
RNAcentral lists this ribosomal RNA (508 nucleotides) under uncultured bacterium. RNAcentral's name for it is "partial 16S ribosomal RNA". It matches the Rfam family "Bacterial small subunit ribosomal RNA", at positions 28 to 507 of the family's 1533-position model. The record is from RNAcentral.